Molecule: ribosomal RNA, 462 nt
Filed under: uncultured bacterium
Lineage: Bacteria
Description: partial 16S ribosomal RNA
Rfam family: Bacterial small subunit ribosomal RNA
Source: RNAcentral
GAUGAACGCUGACAGAAUGCUUAACACAUGCAAGUCGAUGGGGAAGUGGUGCUUGCACCAUGGCAACCAUGGCGGACGGGUGAGUAACGCGUAAGGGACUUACCUGCAGGACUGGGAUAACAGGGGGAAACUCCUGACAAGACCGGAUAAUGUCAUGGAGCUGCAUGGCUUUAUGAUGAAAGGAGACGCCUGCGGAGAGCCUUGCGUCCUAUUAGCUAGUUGGUGAGGUAAUGGCUCACCAAGGCGAAGAUAGGUAGCCGGCCUGAGAGGGUGGACGGCCACAAGGGGACUGAGCUACGGCCCUUACUCCUACGGGAGGCAGCAGUGGGGAAUAUUGGACAAUGGGGGCAACCCUGAUCCAGCAAUUCUGUGUGCACGAAGAAGGUUUUCGGAUUGUAAAGUGCUUUCAGCAGGGAAGAAGUAAGUGACGGUACCUGCAGAAGAAGCGACGGCUAAAUACGU